RNAcentral lists this ribosomal RNA (478 nucleotides) under uncultured Candidatus Saccharibacteria bacterium. RNAcentral describes it as "bacterial SSU rRNA". It matches the Rfam family "Bacterial small subunit ribosomal RNA", at positions 349 to 842 of the family's 1533-position model. Lineage: Bacteria; Candidatus Saccharimonadota. The record is from RNAcentral.
CAGCAGUAGGGAAUCUUCCACAAUGGACGAAAGUCUGAUGGAGCAACGCCGCGUGCAGGAUGAAUGCCUUCGGGUUGUAAACUGCUUUUAUAUGUGACGAAUAUGACGGUAGCAUAUGAAUAAGGAUCGGCUAACUCCGUGCCAGCAGCCGCGGUCAUACGGAGGAUCCAAGCGUUAUCCGGAAUUACUGGGCGUAAAGAGUUGCGUAGGUGGUACUGUAUGUCGGUAGUGAAAGCGUAGGGCUCAACCUUAUACACAUUAUUGAAACUGCAGAGCUAGAGGACAAGAGAGGUCACUGGAAUUCCUAGUGUAGGAGUGAAAUCCGUAGAUAUUAGGAGGAACACCGAUGGCGUAGGCAGGUGACUGGCUUGUUCCUGACACUAAGGCACGAAAGCGUGGGUAGCAAACGGGAUUAGAUACCCCGGUAGUCCACGCUGUAAACGAUGGAUGCUAGCUGUAAGAGGUAUCGACCCCUCUU